UUUCUCAAGGCCUCAAGCCUCAGCCUCCUCUCGACGACUCAGUCACUCAGAGUCUCAGAUCUAAAUAUCCAUACCUCCAUAGCUCCUCAGCCUCCUCUCGACGACUCGACCUAAACCUCCAUACCUGAUCAGCCUCCUCUCUUCCUCUUCCUCAUCUCACGGGCUGCAAGAGGGGAUAAUCUAAGAGCAAAGAUUUGAUCGAGCAGCAACAACAAACACAAGUGCAGCGAAUAGUCUUCGCGUUAAAAGUCGAAUUGGAGAUGGGUACCAGCUACUUUAAUCCGACCUGAAGAAGGAGUCUUGGUGUCCGAUUUCGUACAAAUAAGGAAUUGAUCGCCUUGAUUCUACCACAUUCAACAAAGACUCGAACUGGAUUCAAAGCUUGUUCCGGCGAUUGGCCGAUUUUGAUUCGCAUGCAAGAGCAAAACUGGGGUGACUUCUCCAAUCUGGGCUGUACCAAUUAUGCAGGGCUGCAGGCAGAUUCUAAGUGUGAGCCUCAAUGAUACCAAGUCUGAAUGGAAGACAAUAUGCCUAAUUAUUAGAUAAACUCAUAGAAAUUGUAUUAAUAAUUUGCUUUCGUUCUAAGUUGUAUAUUGGGACACUUUGUAUUCUGUCUUUUUAUUUCAGUACAUUAAAAUGGGCGUGGGGAUGAGCCUCCUAGUUCGGCUGUUCCAAACCCCUUAAAACUUUAAAAGGAAAAAAAUAGCAUCCUUAAUAUGA
Molecule: long non-coding RNA, 720 nt
Organism: Rosa rugosa (rugosa rose)
Lineage: Eukaryota; Viridiplantae; Streptophyta; Magnoliopsida; Rosales; Rosaceae
Exons: 4
Source: RefSeq, a predicted model, not a curated record